UACAGGGGGGGCAAGCGUUGUUCGGAAUUACUGGGCGUAAAGGGUUCGUAGGUGGCUUACUAAGUCAGACGUGAAAUCCCUCAGCUUAACUGGGGAACUGCGUCUGAUACCGGAAAACUUGAGUGCAGGAGAGGAACGCGGAAUUCCAGGUGUAGCGGUGAAAUGCGUAGAUAUCUGGAGGAACACCGGUGGCGAAGGCGGCGUUCUGGACUGUAACUGACACUGAUGAACGAAAGCCAGGGGAGCAAACGGG
This 253-nucleotide ribosomal RNA is filed under the name uncultured bacterium. RNAcentral's name for it is "partial 16S ribosomal RNA". It matches the Rfam family "Bacterial small subunit ribosomal RNA", at positions 524 to 776 of the family's 1533-position model. The record is from RNAcentral.